This 24-nucleotide transfer RNA is filed under the name Cissus verticillata. RNAcentral describes it as "partial tRNA-His". Lineage: Eukaryota; Viridiplantae; Streptophyta; Magnoliopsida; Vitales; Vitaceae. The record is from RNAcentral.
GGCGGAGAGCCAAGAUAUUCACGG